UACGUAGGGGGCAAGCGUUAUCCGGAUUUAUUGGGUUUAAAGGGAGCGUAGGCGGACUUUCAAGUCAGUGGUAAAAUCGUGUGGCUCAACCAUACCUCGCCAUUGAAACUGGAAGUCUGGAGUGCACACAGGGGUGCCGGAAUUCAUGGUGUAGCGGUGAAAUGCUUAGAUAUCAUGAAGAACUCCGAUCGCGAAGGCAGGUGUCCGGGGUGCAACUGACGCUGAGGCUCGAAAGUGCGGGUAUCGAACAGG
RNAcentral lists this ribosomal RNA (252 nucleotides) under uncultured bacterium. RNAcentral describes it as "partial 16S ribosomal RNA". It matches the Rfam family "Bacterial small subunit ribosomal RNA", at positions 524 to 776 of the family's 1533-position model. The record is from RNAcentral.